GACGGACGCUGGCGGCGUGCUUAACACAUGCAAGUCGAACGGAAAGGCCCUGCUUUUGUGGGGUGCUCGAGUGGCGAACGGGUGAGUAACACGUGAGUAACCUGCCCUUGACUUUGGGAUAACUUCAGGAAACUGGGGCUAAUACCGGAUAGGAGCUCCUGCUGCAUGGUGGGGGUUGGAAAGUUUCGGCGGUUGGGGAUGGACUCGCGGCUUAUCAGCUUGUUGGUGGGGUAGUGGCUUACCAAGGCUUUGACGGGUAGCCGGCCUGAGAGGGUGACCGGCCACAUUGGGACUGAGAUACGGCCCAGACUCGUACGGGAGGCAGCAGUGGGGAAUAUUGCACAAUGGGCGGAAGCCUGAUGCAGCAACGCCGCGUGCGGGAUGACGGCCUUCGGGUUGUAAACCGCUUUCGCCUGUGACGAAGCGUGAGUGACGGUAAUGGGUAAAGAAGCACCGGCUAACUACGUG
This 468-nucleotide ribosomal RNA is filed under the name uncultured bacterium. RNAcentral describes it as "partial 16S ribosomal RNA". It matches the Rfam family "Bacterial small subunit ribosomal RNA", at positions 28 to 507 of the family's 1533-position model. The record is from RNAcentral.